AACGAACGCUGGCGGCAUGCCUAACACAUGCAAGUCGAACGAACCCUUCGGGGUUAGUGGCGCACGGGUGCGUAACGCGUGGGAAUCUGCCCUUUGCUUCGGAAUAACUCAGGGAAACUUGUGCUAAUACCGGAUGAUGUCUUCGGACCAAAGAUUUAUCGGCAAGGGAUGAGCCCGCGUAGGAUUAGGUAGUUGGUGGGGUAAAGGCCUACCAAGCCGACGAUCCUUAGCUGGUCUGAGAGGAUGAUCAGCCACACUGGGACUGGGACACGGCCCAGACCCCACGGGAGGGCAGCAGGGGGGAAUAUGGAAAAAGGGGCGCAAGCCUGAUCCAGCAAGGCCGGGGGAGUGAGGAAGGCCCUGGGGUGGAAAAGCUCUUUUCCCAGGGAUGAUAAGGACGGAACCUGGAAAAGAAGCCCCGGCAACCCCCGG
This 432-nucleotide ribosomal RNA is filed under the name uncultured bacterium. Its description in RNAcentral is "partial 16S ribosomal RNA". It matches the Rfam family "Bacterial small subunit ribosomal RNA", at positions 29 to 506 of the family's 1533-position model. The record is from RNAcentral.